RNAcentral lists this ribosomal RNA (252 nucleotides) under uncultured bacterium. Its description in RNAcentral is "partial 16S ribosomal RNA". It matches the Rfam family "Bacterial small subunit ribosomal RNA", at positions 524 to 776 of the family's 1533-position model. The record is from RNAcentral.
UACGGGGGGGCAAGCGUUGUUCGGAAUUACUGGGCGUAAAGGGCGCGUAGGCGGCCCGCUAAGUCGAACGUGAAAUCCCCAGGCUCAACCUGGGAACUGCGUCCGAUACUGGCAGGCUUGAAUCCGGGAGAGGGAUGUGGAAUUCCAGGUGUAGCGGUGAAAUGCGUAGAUAUCUGGAGGAACACCGGUGGCGAAGGCGGCUUACUGGUCCGGUUCUGACGCUGAGGCGCGAAAGCGUGGGGAGCAAACAGG